GAUGAACGCUGGCGGCGUGCCUAAUACAUGCAAGUCGAACGAAACUUCUUUAUCACCGAGUGCUUGCACUCACCGAUAAAGAGUUGAGUGGCGAACGGGUGAGUAACACGUGGGCAACCUGCCCAAAAAAGGGGGAUAACACUUGGAAACAGGUGCUAAUACCGCAUAACCAUAGUUACCGCAUGGUAACUAUGUAAAAGGUGGCUAUACUACCGCGUUUGGAUGGGCCCGCGGCGCAUUAGCUAGUUGGUAGGGUAAAGGCUUACCAAGGCAAUGAUGCGUAGCCGAAUUGAGAGGUAGGUCGGCCACAUUGGGACUGAGACACGGCCCAAACUCCUACGGGAGGCAGCAGUAGGGAAUCUUCCACAAAGGGCGAAAGCCUGAUGGUGCAACGCCGCGUGGGUGAAGAAGGUCUUCGGAUCGUUAAACCCUGUUGUUAGAGAAGAAAGUGCGUGAUAGUAACUGUUCACGUUUUGACGGUAUCUAACCAGAAAGCCACUGCUAACUACGUG
This 512-nucleotide ribosomal RNA is filed under the name uncultured bacterium. RNAcentral's name for it is "partial 16S ribosomal RNA". It matches the Rfam family "Bacterial small subunit ribosomal RNA", at positions 28 to 507 of the family's 1533-position model. The record is from RNAcentral.